Molecule: ribosomal RNA, 477 nt
Filed under: uncultured anaerobic ammonium-oxidizing bacterium
Lineage: Bacteria
Description: bacterial SSU rRNA
Rfam family: Bacterial small subunit ribosomal RNA
Source: RNAcentral
UUCGCAAUGCCCGAAAGGGUGACGAAGCGACGCCGCGUGGGUGAGGAAGGCCCUCGGGUUGUAAAGCCCUGUCAGGAGUUAAGAAAUGUAGAUACGCUAAUAUCGUAUCUAUUUGACAAAGGCUCCAAAGGAAGCCACGGCUAACUCUGUGCCAGCAGCCGCGGUAAUACAGAGGUGGCAAGCGUUGUUCGGAAUUAUUGGGCGUAAAGAGCACGUAGGUGGGUUUGUAAGUCAGAUGUGAAAGCCUUCUGUUCAACGGAAGAAUUGCAUCUGAAACUGCAAAUCUUGAGUAUAGGAGGGGAGAAUGGAACUUCUGGUGGAGCGGUGAAAUGCGUAGAUAUCAGAAGGAACGUCGGCGGCGAAAGCGACUCUCUGGCCUAUUACUGACACUCAGUGUGCGAAAGCUAGGGGAGCAAACGGGAUUAGAUACCCCGGUAGUCCUAGCCGUAAACGAUGGGCACUAAGUAGAGGGGUUUU